AACCCCCUAAACCCUAACCCCUAUCUCAGAAGUUACACCCUAUCUACUGGUCAUGGAGUUCUGUCCUCUGGGCGACCUGAAGAGUUACCUGCGCAGCUGUCGGGCGGCUGACUCCGUGACCCCUGAUCCCCUGACCCUCCAGCGAAUGGCGUGCGAGAUCGCCUCGGGCCUGCUGCACCUUCACAAGCACAACUUCAUUCACAGUGACCUGGCCUUAAGGAACUGCUUCUGACCUCAGAGAGGACAGUAAAGAUAGGAGACUAUGGCCUCUCACACAGCAGAUACAAGGAUGACUACUUUGUGACUCCAGACCAGAUCUGGGUGCCGCUGCGUUGGAUCGCCCCAGAGCUCAUAGACGAGGUCCAUGGUAACCUACUAGUGGUGGACCAGACUAAGGACAGCAACGUCUGGUCUCUGGGAGUGACUAUCUGGGAGUUGUUUGAGUUGGGGAACCAGCCGUACAGACACUACACUGACAGACAGGUCCUGACCUACGCUGUGAAGGAACAGCAGCUCAAACUAACCAGGCCCCGGCUCAAAGUACCCCUGGCUGAGC
Molecule: long non-coding RNA, 556 nt
Organism: Oncorhynchus kisutch (coho salmon)
Lineage: Eukaryota; Metazoa; Chordata; Actinopteri; Salmoniformes; Salmonidae
Exons: 5
Source: RefSeq, a predicted model, not a curated record